Molecule: ribosomal RNA, 2980 nt
Filed under: human gut metagenome
Description: bacterial LSU rRNA
Rfam family: Bacterial large subunit ribosomal RNA
Source: RNAcentral
UAAAGAUAUUAAGGGCAUACGGUGGAUGCCUUGGCACAAGAAGUCGAUGAAGGACGUGACAAGCUGCGAUAAGCUGCGGUGAGCUGCACAUAGGCGUUAUUAACCGCAGAUUUCCGAAUGGGGCAACCCGGAUGAGGUAAUGCUCAUCCACUUCCAUCUGAAUCAAAUAGGAUGGCUAGAGACAACCCGGAGAACUGAAACAUCUAAGUACCCGGAGGAAAAGAAAUCAACCGAGAUUGCGCUAGUAGCGGCGAGCGAACGCGCACCUAGCCUAAACCCAUGCAUGUGUAAGUUUCAGGACGUUGCUGCAUGUGGUGUCGUGGGGUCGUCUUUGUGGGAGCCUGUACCUCCCAUGCGCAGUUACAAAAUCCAUUCAUAGUCGAAGUGGUCUGGAAAGUCCUACCAGAGAAGGUAAUAGUCCUGUAAGCGAAAUGAAUGGGUCUGCGUCGAGAUGAUACCCGAGUAAUGCCGGACACGUGAAAUCCGGUAUGAAUCCAGGGAGACCACUCUCUAAGGCUAAAUACUCUCUUGUGACCGAUAGCGAACCAGUACCGUGAGGGAAAGGUGAAAAGUACCCCGAGAGGGGAGUGAAAUAGUACCUGAAACCGUAUGCCUACAAGCAGUCGGAGCGCUCUUGCAGCGUGACGGCGUGCCUUUUGUAGAAUGAGCCAGCGAGUUACGAUGUGCGGCGAGGUUAAGUUUUGAAACGAGCCGUAGUGAAAGCGAGCCUUUAAGAUGGCGUCAUAGUCGUAUGUCGUAGACGCGAAGCCGGGUGAUCUAUCCAUGGGCAGGCUGAAGCAGAGGUAAGACUCUGUGGAGGGCCGAACCCACUUCGGUUGAAAACGGAGGGGAUGACCUGUGGAUAGGGGUGAAAGGCCAAUCAAACUCGGAGAUAUCUCGUUCUCCCCGAAAUAGCUUUAGGGCUAGCCUCGAAUCGUUUACUUACGGUGGUAGAGCCACUGGAUUCGUGCGGGGGCUUCACCGCCUACCAACCGAAACCAAACUCCGAAUGCCGUAAGUCUAUAGAUCGGGAGUCAGAACAUGUGGGCUAAGCCGUGUGUUCGAGAGGGAAACAGCCCAGACCGCCUGCUAAGGUCCCUAAAUUCAUGCUAAGUGGCAAAGGAUGUGCGUUUGCCUAGACAACCAGGAUGUUGGCUUAGAAGCAGCCAUGCAUUUAAAGAGUGCGUAACAGCUCACUGGUCAAGUGGACAUGCGCCGACAAUUCACGGGGCUCAAGCAUGAUACCGAAGCAGCGGACUGAUAUUUUUCAGUGGUAGGGGAGCUUUCUUAUCUGGGUCGAAGCUGUGUGGCAACGCAUGGUGGACUGGUAAGAAGUGAGAAUGCUGGCAUGAGUAACGAGAGUGAGGCGAGAAACCUCACCGCCGUAAGCCUAAGGGUUCCUGGGCAAGGCUAAUCCUCCCAGGGUCAGUCGGGAGCUAAGACGAGGCCGACAGGCGUAGUCGAUGCACAACAGGUUGAUAUUCCUGUACCACCACGAAUCGUUAUGACGAUGGGGUGACGGAGAAGGAUAGCUGGGCGGGGUUCUGGACGUCCCCGUGAAAGCGUGUAGGGUGCGCAUGCAGGUAAAUCCGCAAGCGCUUAUGCCUGAGACGUGAGACGAAGCUCUAAGUGAAGUCAGUGAUUCCCUGCUUCCAAGAAAAACCUCUAAGCAGAUAUCGUGGUGCCCGUACCAAAACCGACACAGGUAGGCGGGUAGAGUAUACCAAGGCGAUCGGGAGAACUAUGGUUAAGGAACUCGGCAUAAUGACUCCGUAACUUCGGGAGAAGGAGUGCCGCUCAUGGGUGAUAGGGCAUGCCCCUAAAAGCCUAGGGCGGUCGCAGUGAAACGGCCCAAGCGACUGUUUAUCAAAAACACAGGACUCUGCUAAGUCGCAAGACGAUGUAUAGGGUCUGACGCCUGCCCGGUGCUGGAAGGUUACGUGGAUGGGUUAGCCUUUUUGGGCGAAGCUCUGAAACUAAGCCCCAGUAAACGGCGGCCGUAACUAUAACGGUCCUAAGGUAGCGAAAUUCCUUGUCGGGUAAGUUCCGACCUGCACGAAUGGCGUAACGAUUUGGGCGCUGUCUCAACCAUAGACCCGGUGAAAUUGUAUUAUUCGUGAAGAUGCGAAUUACCCACGGAAGGACGGAAAGACCCCGUGAACCUUCACUACAGCUUGACAUUGAUCAUUGGUUCUGUGUGUAGAGGAUAGGUGGGAGACCGUGAAGCACGAGCGCCAGCUCGUGUGGAGUCAUCCUUGGAAUACCACCCUCACAGUAUUGGUGAUCUAACGCGGCGCCGUUAUCCGGGUCGCGGACCGUGUCAGGUGGGUAGUUUGACUGGGGCGGUCGCCUCCUAAAAGGUAACGGAGGCGUACGUAAGGUUUGCUCAGAACGGUCGGCAAUCGUUCGUAGAGUACAAGAGUAUAAGCAAGCUUGACUGCGAGACCUACAAGUCGAGCAGAGACGAAAGUCGGUUCUAGUGAUCCGGCGGCUCAGAGUGGAAUGGCCGUCGCUCAACGGAUAAAAGGUACUCCGGGGAUAACAGGCUGAUCUUGCCCAAGAGUCCACAUCGACGGCAAGGUUUGGCACCUCGAUGUCGGCUCAUCGCAUCCUGGGGCUGAAGUCGGUCCCAAGGGUUGGGCUGUUCGCCCAUUAAAGCGGUACGCGAGCUGGGUUCAGAACGUCGUGAGACAGUUCGGUCCCUAUCCUCCGCGGGCGUAAGAGAAUUGAGAAGAGCUGCCCCUAGUACGAGAGGACCGGGGUGGACGAACCUCUGGUGUCGCAGUUGUUGACCAACAGCAUAGCUGCUUAGCUACGUUCGGAUCGGAUAACCGCUGAAAGCAUCUAAGUGGGAAGCCGACUUCAAGAUGAGUUCUCUUUUUGGUAAGACCCCUUGUAGACUACGAGGUCGAUAGGCUGCAGCUGCAAGCGUUGCAAGGCGUUCAGGCGAGCAGUACUAAUUGGUCGAGCUCUUUAUCUC